AAACUUAAGGAUUGACGGUCCCGCACGAAGCAGCGGAACGUGUGGUUUUAAUUCGAUUGCUACACGAAGAACCUUACUGGGUUUGACAUAGAGGUAGUAGGGAAGCGAAAGCGGACCGACCCUUCGGGGAGCCUCUACAGGUGUUGCAUGGCUGUCGUCAGCUCGUGUCGUGAGAUGUUCGGUUAAGUCCGCUAACGAGCGCAACCCUCGCUGUGUGUUACAAGUGUCACACGGUACUGCCGAUAUUAAGUCGGAGGAAGGUGGGGAUGACGUCAAGUCAGCAUGACCUUUAUAUCCAGGGCUACACACACGCUACAAUGGCCAGUACAAUGGGUUGCCAAGCCGCGAGGCGGAGCCAAUCCUAAAAAGCUGGCCUCAGUUCAGAUUGCAGUCUGCAACUCGACUGCAUGAAGUUGGAGUUGCUAGUAACCGCAGGUCAGCAAUACUGCGGUGAAUACGUUCCCGGGGAUU
This 471-nucleotide ribosomal RNA is filed under the name uncultured Anaerolineaceae bacterium. RNAcentral's name for it is "bacterial SSU rRNA". It matches the Rfam family "Bacterial small subunit ribosomal RNA", at positions 897 to 1382 of the family's 1533-position model. Lineage: Bacteria; Bacillati; Chloroflexota; Anaerolineae; Anaerolineales; Anaerolineaceae. The record is from RNAcentral.